CAGAGGAAACUUCUGCUUGUAAAUAUACAAUAAGGAAAUCCGAUAACUAACUCUGGGUUAUUGGGCUUGUUGCCAGACCAAAGCCAAAUGGAAACAAGGGAUCAUAGUGUCUGUCUCCAACGUUCAUGGGGAGCUGGUCCACAGACUUGAACCAGGUGCGCGGUAGCUUCCCAGUAAAUCCAUAAUCCCCGAAAAGGACAUCGGACACACCUUGGCCUUCAGAUCCAGGGAGCCAAGCGGCUACCACAGCGUCCAUCGAGCCAAGGAAGGGCUCAAUCACAAGAGGCCUUCCAGAGAUGAUGACUACAACACACUUGACUACCCCACAGAUGUUCUUGAUCAUGUUUGGACCAGGAGCAGGCAGAGUAAGGUUGAGGUUAUCUCCAGCAGUCUCGGCAUACGGGGUUUCCCCGACUACAACAAUUGCAUAAGAGAAGUCAUUAUUUUUCACAAAAGUCGCAUCAGGUUUCUCCUUGUAGACCACAUCAGUUGUAGGAUCAACGGUAGCUUUAAUGGCUUCAAGGAUUGUAGUUCCGGCUGUGAUGUUACCGAUGUCUCCGUACCAUUUGAUUGUCCACCCACCACAUUGUAGACCUAUGUCAUUAGCAUGCCUUCCAGCAACAAGAAUCUUUGGAGCCUUCUUAGGCAGAGGCAACAAUGGUUGAUUGGCAGGCUUUCCAUUUUUCAACAGCACAAGCGAUCUCCGGACAGCUUCCCUUGCUAACUCCCGGUGUUCCUUAUUUCCGAGCUGAUCGGUCAGGCUAUAAUCAGCUAACGGGUUCUCAAAGAGACCUGCGACAAAUUUAACACGCAAAAUCCUUUUUACAGCAUCAUCAAUUCUGCUCAUGGGAAUAACAUUCUUUUUCACAAGAAGAGUCAGAUCAUCUAUAAAUUCAGUAUAGUUGUUAGGAACCAUCACCAUAUCAAGACCAGCAUUAAUUGAUGCUUGGACAGAGUAAGUGUAGUUUGCAUCAGGUGGGGAGGUGAUCCUAUCAAUCCCCUGCCAAUCUGAGAUCACAAAGCCCCUAAACUUUAGAGUGUUCUUGAGGAAUCCGGUGAUCAAAGCACGGUUGGCAUGCAUUUUCUUCCCAUUCCAACUCGAGUAAGAGAUCAUGACAGUGGAGACGCCCUUGAUGAUGGAGUUAUAGUACGCAGGCAUGUGGAUGCUAAACAAUCCAUGGGAAUUGAUUAUAGUGUUAUUCUCGUUAAUACCCUCAUAUGUACCACCAUCACCUACAAAGUGCUUUGCGCAGGCCACAACUUUGUCCUUUCCACCGACAUAAGGAGUGCCCUUCCUAUAAUUUGCAGGCAAGUCCCCCUGAAGUCCAGG
Molecule: unclassified non-coding RNA, 1330 nt
Filed under: Hevea brasiliensis (rubber tree)
Lineage: Eukaryota; Viridiplantae; Streptophyta; Magnoliopsida; Malpighiales; Euphorbiaceae
Source: RNAcentral